Dreissena polymorpha is the source of this 1014-nucleotide RNA transcript. It is a transcript of the gene named death-associated inhibitor of apoptosis 2-like, with no coding region annotated. The transcript has 7 exons. The record is from RefSeq and is a predicted model, not a curated record. NCBI's taxonomy places the organism in Eukaryota, Metazoa, Mollusca, Bivalvia, Myida, Dreissenidae.
UCUGAUUUUCUUGUGAUGUCAGAGAUUGUAUGUGAGAGCAUGGAACGACAACUCUGCGUGGAAAUUGGCUCCUUAUAGAAUAGUGAAUCAGGCUUAAAUAGACAACUUUUUGAUUCAAAAAACACGGAAGGUGUGGUAAGCAGCUCCAGCCAUCUGAUGUAAACUCUAGUGUUUAAGGCUGUGAGCAUCAGAUGGCUGCACCUUUCAACUACAGAAGCUUGGCAUGUAACAGCAACUAAGAUACCUACAACACAUUAGCUUUCUGAAUGGUGAGAAUAAGCAUCUGUAAAGGACGUCUUCAUCGUUGUCAUCAACAUCUGUCAGCACAUAUCAGAGAUUGUUAAAUGAAUAACAAAGAUCUUCCGGAUGCUUCCAGUAUCAUCAACAACAAUUUAGAUCUUGAAGAAUACGAGACGUUAUGCACACCAGACAAUAGCGAUGACCAAGGGCGUGAAAGAGCAACCUAUAUAGAGCCCGUGUAUAGGACACAUGGCGCUGAUCAUCAAUUACCACUUUCGUUGGCCGUUGAAGCCGAACAACCAAGGCCUAAGGACAAUGGAGUGCCAAAUAAUGCCCGAGCUGUAAACGCAACACACGAGACAGGUUUUCCACCGGACACUUCAAGAUGCAGAGAAGAUACAGAGAGAGAAAACGAACAAUUACAAGCGCAAAUGUUGUGUAUCGAUUGCAAAGAGCAAUAUAAGGUUAUAGCGUUUCUUCCAUGUGGCCAUUUGCUUCUCUGCUUUGGUUGCUACAAAGGAGAAUCGCAUUGCCGGAUGUGUACAACAAAAAUAAACAACAUCGUUCGCGUAAAUUGGUUCUCGGAACAAAGCGGUCCAAAAGCUGUAUAUCCAUAGGCCAUUCAUUAUUGUGUAUCCAAAUCACUUCCUUUCUAUACCUUUACCUUUAAUUGUAUACAUGUAUGCGUCUAAUUUUUGCUGUUAAAUUCAUAGAUAUAUAUAUAUGCUGUAUCAUGAAAUAUCAUAUCAUAUUUUAUUGUAAAGUACAAUUUUU